This 497-nucleotide ribosomal RNA is filed under the name uncultured bacterium. RNAcentral describes it as "partial 16S ribosomal RNA". It matches the Rfam family "Bacterial small subunit ribosomal RNA", at positions 28 to 523 of the family's 1533-position model. The record is from RNAcentral.
GAUGAACGCUAGCGGCGUGCUUAACACAUGCAAGUCGAACGAAGCACUUUAAUCGAUUUCUUCGGAUUGAAAUUUUAGUGACUGAGUGGCGGACGGGUGAGUAACGCGUGGGUAACCUGCCUCACACAGGGGGAUAACAGUUGGAAACGGCUGCUAAUACCGCAUAAGCGCACAGUACCGCAUGGUACGGUGUGAAAAACUCCGGUGGUGUGAGAUGGACCCGCGUCUGAUUAGCUAGUUGGCAGGGUAACGGCCUACCAAGGCGACGAUCAGUAGCCGACCUGAGAGGGUGACCGGCCACAUUGGGACUGAGACACGGCCCAAACUCCUACGGGAGGCAGCAGUGGGGAAUAUUGCACAAUGGGGGAAACCCUGAUGCAGCGACGCCGCGUGAGCGAAGAAGUAUUUCGGUAUGUAAAGCUCUAUCAGCAGGGAAGAAGAAAUGACGGUACCUGACUAAGAAGCACCGGCUAAAUACGUGCCAGCAGCCGCAGUAA